CAUGACACAAAACCGAGCGCAAUGGCGUUCUAGGAUUCAUAUAGCCGACCCCACUUAGUGGGAAAAGGCUUUGUUGUUGUUGUUGUUGUUGUUGUAUCUGCCUCACAUUCGAUGUCUUCAUGUCACAAAUUACUUUUCGAAGGUAAUGGAUUUUGUGGUUUCAUACUUUUCGAAGGUAAUGGAUUUUGUAUCUGCCGACAUUCACCUCUCCCAGACCCUGCGUAAAGCGGGAGCCUUGUGCACUGGGUACGACCUUUAUACUAUCAGUCAAUAAUCAGAUUUUGUGGCCAUCAGAAUUUGACUGUAAUUUCAUUAUCCUGUUUUCUGAACCUUUCUGUUCCAGUAUUUGGCCGUCGGAGUCUUGCCAGGAAAUCUACCUCAACCGUGUCUAUAUCUCAAUUUUUUUUCUAUACAUUUAAGCUUCAACGAUCUGAAAGAGAUUUUAACUGUUUUAUGUCUUCUGAGAAGCUUCCCUGCUCUACAGGAACUUGAAAUUUGGGCCCAGAAUGAGUACAAGGCUGUUGUGGGAGAAGUAAACUAUGGGUCGGAUGACAACCAGAAUUGCCAAUUGACCAAACUGCGAAUUGUCAAAAUAACCGGCAUCUUUGGUGUCAAAGCUGAACUAGAUUUCAUCAGGUUUUUGCUUUCAAGUUCACCUGUGCUUGAGAAGAUGACUGUGAAGCCUGCUGCUGCUAAUAAUUUUGAAGUAAAAAUGUUGCUCCAAAAGUUGCUCCAGUUUAAGCGUGUCUCGGCGAAUGCAGAGAUAUUCUACUUAGACCCUUGAUUCAUCAAUGAAACAUGUUUGGCAGAUACGAUACGAGGACUUGCCGGCAGAAACUGAAUGCGGGUUUUGAUAGUUUGGUACAAUUAUCUGCUAUGUAUGUGUCUUAUGUUUUGUCAAACGACGCCAAUAGAUAUCUCUUUUAUUCUUUUCCUAAUCUCAUGUUCAACUUGGACUAUGAUAUUAAAUUUUGACCCUAAGAUGUAUGAUGAAA
Non-coding RNA from Malus domestica (apple), 995 nucleotides. NCBI's taxonomy places the organism in Eukaryota, Viridiplantae, Streptophyta, Magnoliopsida, Rosales, Rosaceae. The record is from RefSeq and is a predicted model, not a curated record.